This is a long non-coding RNA of Camponotus floridanus (Florida carpenter ant), 1393 nucleotides long. RefSeq lists it as uncharacterized. The record is from RefSeq and is a predicted model, not a curated record. The transcript is spliced from 2 exons. NCBI's taxonomy places the organism in Eukaryota, Metazoa, Arthropoda, Insecta, Hymenoptera, Formicidae.
UCGACGACGCCAUUGUUUUCGGCGCGGGAUGCUGCGGAACGCAGCGCGUGCGAGGUUCACGCCGACGCCCGGCGUCGCGACGCCACUCUCGCACGCAACGCCGUCGCCGGCCGUCGCCCGUCGUCCGCCCGUCUCUUUCUCUAUCUACCUCCGCCGAGCUGUUCCACCAGGAUUUUUCACGUCGACGAGGCUUCGGCGCCCGGCGACGCGGAUCUCGCGAAGAGCAAGUGCAUCUCUUUGCGGCGAACGGGGCGCCCGACAUCGCGGUGUAAUCAGACACCGGCGCGAGAAGGAAGACGCGGAAGGGAGGAAAGCAGAGACGUAAAUGUAAUUGGAAACAUCCGAGAGGGAGAUUCGCCUCGUUUCUGAUCCGUGCCGCGCGGCUUGCCUGCUUCCAUUCUUCCCUCGGACCGUCCGUCGCGAUGCAAACGCCAUGCCGUCGCUUUUUCUCGCGUUCAUCUGCGAACAUUCGCGAGAAAUGCGUAUCGUUUUCGGGGCAGAUUGUCUUCUUUUGAAAUUGCCGACUAUUAAAUAUAAAAGGCUCUCGUAAUAGUAAAGAUCGACGCUAGAGAUUCAAUUAUCACCGAUCGUGAUUAAAGGGACGCGAAUGCGGUACAGCUCUAUAAUUACGCAAUUUUUCAGAUAUCGAUAGUACGUUCUUCUUCACGCGACUUCAAAGAUAUAUUUACGCGAGAGUCUCACGACGUACGCAUGGCUAAGGGAGAAAAGCGCUUUCUUUGUGACGACGUUUACCAUUACGUACGUGCAGCUUUGUAAAUGGCAGGGCGCGCGCGCCACGCAUGAUUAAGCAGAGCCCGACGAUAAUGCGCUGCGUGCGGCUCUUCGGCGUAAAGAAGGUGUAAAUACCUCCCGAUGAUUCCUCGUCCAAGGAUCGAAGCGGAUCGCGCAAAGGGAGCCGACACGGAGGCGGCUCCUUUCUCGUCGAUAGUUUCAAUGGAGAGUUUUUCUCAUAGAGAGCCACUCGCGUCCCCCUUCUCUCUCUCUUUCUCUCUUCCUUUCUCUCUUUUCCCGUCCCUCUUCGUACCUUCGAGGUACGCGUGUGCACGGAAAACGAUAAAAAAGACGAGAUCUCUCAAAAGGUACGCGGAGCACCGCCUCUGAUGAAUGCCGCAACCAGUUGGCCACCAUGUUUUCCCUCCGCCGGUGUGUGUACGCCCUACUCUCCGAAACAUCCCCUGUGUCGCGUCCCUCCGUGUGCCGACUUCCAACCCCUCGCAAAACCGCGAUUGAACCCUUGUACAUCCAGCGCGUAAUACUGCGUACUAUGGCAUACAGAGGUGAUUUUACGUGCGCUUUGUGAGCGACGAAUAAGUUGGUACAGUUGUCGAGCAAUGCUGCAAAAAUGUACAUUAAUAAAUUGCAUUUGCAACGA